Molecule: non-coding RNA, 161 nt
Filed under: Marvinbryantia formatexigens
Lineage: Bacteria; Bacillati; Bacillota; Clostridia; Lachnospirales; Lachnospiraceae
Also listed under: 1 other name
Source: RNAcentral
UUUAACAAAAACGGAAAAGGUGUAGGGAACGCAAGUGAAAAGCUGCGGCAGCCCGCUCUACUGUGAUGAUUAUGCUCCGGUCAGUAUGCCAUUGGGAAACUGAGAAGGCGACGGGAGUGAAAGGUCUAAGCCAGGAAACCUGCCUUUUCUAAGGAAAUGCG